This 231-nucleotide ribosomal RNA is filed under the name Triticum aestivum (bread wheat). Its description in RNAcentral is "partial small subunit ribosomal RNA". The record is from RNAcentral. Lineage: Eukaryota; Viridiplantae; Streptophyta; Magnoliopsida; Poales; Poaceae.
AUGUCCAAAUUUAGACACUCUAUCAACAAGCUGGGACUGCAUGAUAUGCCAAUGAUGGGUAGGCGGUACACUUGGUGCAAUCAACAAGAACAACCCAUUAUGGCCAGGCUGGACAGAGUGCUUUUCAACAAUGCUUGGGAAGAUUUGCUCCCCUUCAGUGAUCUUAUCCCGCUCAGUUCUAAUAUCUCGGAUCACACGCCACUGGUGCUCUCUUGUUCGACAGCUAGGCCG